GUGCUCACUUGGGCAGCACAUAUACUAAAAUUGGAACGAUACAGACAAGAUUAGCAUGGCCCCUGCACAAGGAUGACACGCAAAUUCCUGAAACGUUCCAUAUUUUU
Otolemur garnettii (small-eared galago) is the source of this 107-nucleotide small nuclear RNA. The record is from Ensembl. Lineage: Eukaryota; Metazoa; Chordata; Mammalia; Primates; Galagidae.